UGGAGCUGGCAUGUCAGUUAACUGCUAGUAGUCUGUUGUUAUUUAUGUAUUAUUGUCAUUUUAUUUAUUUUCUUUUGUUACAUCUUUUGACAUCAGACUCGGACUUCUCUUGAACUGAAUUUUAAUGUGCGUAUUGUUAUUCUUUUACUUUUCUACAUUGGCUAGAGGUAUAGGGGGAGGGUUGAGAUCUCAUAAACAUGUUUAACCCCGCCGCAAUUUUGCGCCUGUCCCAAGUCAGGAGCCUCUGGCCUUUGUUAGUCUUGUAUGAUUUUAAAUUUUAGUUUCUUGUGUAUAAUUCGGAGUUUAGUAUGACGUCCAUUAUCACUGUACUAUUAUGCAUAUUUUAGGGGCCAGCUGAAGGACACCUACGGGUGCGGGAAUUCUCGCUACAUUGAAGACCCAUUGGUUGCCUUCGGCUGUUGUUUGCUCUAUGGUCGGGUGGUUGUCGCUUUGACAUAUUCACCAUUUCCUUUCUCAAUUUUAUUUUUAAAUUCCGUUUUAAUCUGUAAAAGAGGGACGAAGAUACCAGAGGUACAGUCAAACUCAGAAAUCGAAAAUAAAGUGGCAACGCCAUGGCUACAAAUGAAAAAGACAAACAGACAAACAAUAUUACACAUGACACAACAUAGAAAACUAACAGAAAAACAACACGAACCCCACCAAAAACUAGGGGUUAACAGAUCGUGUCCAAUUCCCGAAUAUUCAUUUUUUAAUUUGUUAAUUAUUAUGAUGGAAGAGUCGUAUAAAGAUUAUGUGACUCCCUCGGUUUCUGUUGGCUACCUUGAUUUGUCUCCUCUGAAUCAAUUUACGAGGUUCAAACAUUGGUAAACUAGUGUAGCAUUGGUAUAUUAAAAGACUUAUUGCUAUGUGAUUGUUUAUUUUACAAAGGCCAGAGAUACAUGUAUAUGGGAGGUUUGAAAUUUCACAAAACAUAAUUAACCCCG
RNAcentral lists this long non-coding RNA (944 nucleotides) under Mytilus galloprovincialis (Mediterranean mussel). Lineage: Eukaryota; Metazoa; Mollusca; Bivalvia; Mytilida; Mytilidae. The record is from RNAcentral.